Molecule: ribosomal RNA, 451 nt
Filed under: uncultured bacterium
Lineage: Bacteria
Description: bacterial SSU rRNA
Rfam family: Bacterial small subunit ribosomal RNA
Source: RNAcentral
GCCAGACUCCUACGGGAGGCAGCAGUGGGGAAUAUUGGACAAUGGGGGGAACCCUGAUCCAGCGACGCCGCGUGAGUGAAGAAGUAUUUCGGUAUGUAAAGCUCUAUCAGCAGGGAAGAAAGAAAUGACGGUACCUGACUAAGAAGCCCCGGCUAACUACGUGCCAGCAGCCGCGGUAAUACGUAGGGGGCAAGCGUUAUCCGGAUUUACUGGGUGUAAAGGGAGCGUAGACGGCGAUGCAAGCCAGAUGUGAAAGCCCGGGGCUCAACCCCGGGACUGCAUUUGGAACUGUGUGGCUGGAGUGUCGGAGAGGCAGGCGGAAUUCCUAGUGUAGCGGUGAAAUGCGUAGAUAUUAGGAGGAACACCAGUGGCGAAGGCGGCCUGCUGGACGAUGACUGACGUUGAGGCUCGAAAGCGUGGGGAGCAAACAGGAUUAGAUACCCGCGUAGAA